GCUUGCUGGGCGGAUUAGUGGCGAACGGGUGAGUAAUACGUGAGUAACCUGCCCUUGACUCUGGGAUAAGCCUGGGAAACUGGGUCUAAUACUGGAUACUACCUCUUACCGCAUGGUGGGUGGUGGAAAGGGUUUUACUGGUUUUGGAUGGGCUCACGGCCUAUCAGCUUGUUGGUGGGGUAAUGGCUCACCAAGGCGACGACGGGUAGCCGGCCUGAGAGGGUGACCGGCCACACUGGGACUGAGACACGGCCCAGACUCCUACGGGAGGCAGCAGUGGGGAAUAUUGCACAAUGGGCGGAAGCCUGAUGCAGCGACGCCGCGUGAGGGAUGACGGCCUUCGGGUUGUAAACCUCUUUCAGUAGGGAAGAAGCGAGAGUGACGGUACCUGCAGAAGAAGCGCCGGCUAACUACGUGCCAGCAGCCGCGGUAAUACGUAGGGCGCAAGCGUUGUCCGGAAUUAUUGGGCGUAAAGAGCUCGUAGGCGGUUUGUCGCGUCUGCUGUGAAAGCCCGGGGCUCAACCCCCGGGUCUGCAGUGGGUACGGGCAGACUAGAGUGCAGUAGGGGAGACUGGAAUUCCUGGUGUAGCGGUGAAAUGCGCAGAUAUCAGGAGGAACACCGAUGGCGAAGGCAGGUCUCUGGGCUGUUACUGACGCUGAGGAGCGAAAGCAUGGGGAGCGAACAGGAUUAGAUACCCUGGUAGUCCAUGCCGUAAACGUUGGGCACUAGGUGUGGGGGACAUUCCACGUUUUCCGCGCCGUAGCUAACGCAUUAAGUGCCCCGCCUGGGGAGUACGGCCGCAAGGCUAAAACUCAAAGGAAUUGACGGGGGCCCGCACAAGCGGCGGAGCAUGCGGAUUAAUUCGAUGCAACGCGAAGAACCUUACCAAGGCUUGACAUUCACCGGACCGCCCCAGAGAUGGGGUUUCCCUUCGGGGCUGGUGGACAGGUGGUGCAUGGUUGUCGUCAGCUCGUGUCGUGAGAUGUUGGGUUAAGUCCCGCAACGAGCGCAACCCUCGUUCUAUGUUGCCAGCACGUGAUGGUGGGGACUCAUAGGAGACUGCCGGGGUCAACUCGGAGGAAGGUGGGGAUGACGUCAAAUCAUCAUGCCCCUUAUGUCUUGGGCUUCACGCAUGCUACAAUGGCCGGUACAAAGGGUUGCGAUACUGUGAGGUGGAGCUAAUCCCAAAAAGCCGGUCUCAGUUCGGAUUGAGGUCUGCAACUCGACCUCAUGAAGUCGGAGUCGCUAGUAAUCGCAGAUCAGCAACGCUGCGGUGAAUACGUUCCCGGGCCUUGUACACACCGCCCGUCAAGUCACGAAAGUUGGUAACACCCGAAGCCGGUGGCCUAACCCCUUGUGGGAGGGAGCCGUCGAAGCKKRKWGUUUGWCCYUGGCUCAGGGAAAGUAU
This 1409-nucleotide ribosomal RNA is filed under the name Kocuria rosea. RNAcentral's name for it is "partial 16S ribosomal RNA". It matches the Rfam family "Bacterial small subunit ribosomal RNA". The record is from RNAcentral. Lineage: Bacteria; Bacillati; Actinomycetota; Actinomycetes; Micrococcales; Micrococcaceae.